GGUAAGGUGGCUCAGUGAUAAAGUGCUUGCUUUGCAUGCAUGAGGCCCUGGGUUCGAUUCCCCAGCACCA
This 70-nucleotide transfer RNA is filed under the name Dipodomys ordii (Ord's kangaroo rat). It matches the Rfam family "tRNA". Rfam says of the family: Transfer RNA (tRNA) molecules are approximately 80 nucleotides in length. Their secondary structure includes four short double-helical elements and three loops (D, anti-codon, and T loops). Lineage: Eukaryota; Metazoa; Chordata; Mammalia; Rodentia; Heteromyidae. The record is from Rfam by way of RNAcentral.